CGGUGAAGCUCAGCUUGCUGGGUGGAUCAGUGGCGAACGGGUGAGUAACACGUGAGCAACCUGCCCUCCACUUCGGGAUAAGCCUUGGAAACGAGGUCUAAUACCGGAUACGAGCACUUACCGCAUGGUGGGUGUUGGAAAGUUUUUCGGUGGGGGAUGGGCUCGCGGCCUAUCAGCUUGUUGGUGGGGUAAUGGCCUACCAAGGCGUCGACGGGUAGCCGGCCUGAGAGGGCGACCGGCCACACUGGGACUGAGACACGGCCCAGACUCCUACGGGAGGCAGCAGUGGGGAAUAUUGCACAAUGGGCGAAAGCCUGAUGCAGCGACGCCACGUGAGGGAUGACGGCCUUCGGGUUGUAAACCUCUUUCAGCAGGGAAGAAGCGCAAGUGACGGUACCUGCAGAAGAAGCGCCGGCUAACUACGUGCCAGCAGCCGCGGUAAUACGUAGGGCGCAAGCGUUGUCCGGAAUUAUUGGGCGUAAAGAGCUCGUAGGCGGUCUGUCGCGUCUGGUGUGAAAUCCCAUGGCUCAACCAUGGGCUUGCAUCGGGUACGGGCAGACUAGAGUGCUGUAGGGGAGACUGGAAUUCCUGGUGUAGCGGUGGAAUGCGCAGAUAUCAGGAGGAACACCGAUGGCGAAGGCAGGUCUCUGGGCAGUUACUGACGCUGAGGAGCGAAAGCAUGGGGAGCGAACAGGAUUAGAUACCCUGGUAGUCCAUGCCGUAAACGUUGGGCACUAGGUGUGGGGCGGGUUCCACUCGUUCUGUGCCGCAGCUAACGCAUUAAGUGCCCCGCCUGGGGAGUACGGCCGCAAGGCUAAAACUCAAAGGAAUUGACGGGGGCCCGCACAAGCGGCGGAGCAUGCGGAUUAAUUCGAUGCAACGCGAAGAACCUUACCAAGGCUUGACAUGUACGAGAAAGCCCCAGAGAUGGGGUUCUCUUUGGACACUCGUACACAGGUGGUGCAUGGUUGUCGUCAGCUCGUGUCGUGAGAUGUUGGGUUAAGUCCCGCAACGAGCGCAACCCUUAUCCUAUGUUGCCAGCGGGUUAUGCCGGGGACUCAUGG
This 1064-nucleotide ribosomal RNA is filed under the name Promicromonospora sp. RNAcentral's name for it is "bacterial SSU rRNA". It matches the Rfam family "Bacterial small subunit ribosomal RNA", at positions 67 to 1144 of the family's 1533-position model. Lineage: Bacteria; Bacillati; Actinomycetota; Actinomycetes; Micrococcales; Promicromonosporaceae. The record is from RNAcentral.